This 3847-nucleotide long non-coding RNA is filed under the name Homo sapiens (human). RNAcentral's name for it is "HSALNT0243505". Lineage: Eukaryota; Metazoa; Chordata; Mammalia; Primates; Hominidae. The record is from RNAcentral.
AAAAUGCUCAUUGGAGCCUCACUUGUACUAACUCCAAGUUACAUGUUCUGGAGUCCUUAGUGAUAAAGAAAUGGAAUACACUUUCUUUAAAUAAUGAGUCAUUUUUUUGAAGGUAUAAAAUCAGUCUUUUAAAAUUAAGAACCCAUAAGGUAAUGAGGACUCCACUUUUUUUUUGAAAUUUUUUAUUUUUAUACAGAGUCUUGCUCUGUCACCCAGGCUGGAGUGCAGUUGCGUGAUCUCGACUAACUGCAACCUCAGCCUCCCAGGUUCAAGCAAUUCUCGUGCCUCAGCCUCCCAAGUAGCUGGGAUUACAGAGGUAUGCCACCAUGCCCAGCUAAUUUUUGUACUUUUAGUAGAGACAGGGGUUCACCAUAUUGGCCAGGCUGGUCUUGAACUCCUGGCCUCAAGUGAUCUGCCUGCCUUGACCUCCCAAAGUGCUGGGAUUACAGGCAUGGGUCACUGCACCCGGCCAAGGACUUCACUAUUACUCCCACACCUUCUAGUUUAUCAUGAAAUCUAUGAAACAGAAGAAAUCUGUGAAGUCGUGGAAAGAGCACCAAACUUAGAAUCAGGACGUGGUUCAAGCCCUGGCUUUUCAUUUACUCCCUGCAUGACCUUGUCCAAGACGCUUAACCUCUCUGAGCCACAGUCUAUAAAAUUGAGAUCAUCUUCCUUAGAGGGGUGCUCUGAUUAAAUUAUGAGAUUAUACACUAGGAAGCACUGUGCAAAUACAAUUUUAUUUUGAAGUCAUCAAUUUCCAUUCUUCUCUCCCUUAGGUUCAUUCAUGUGCAGGCCUCUCAGAACCAGUCCUCUCAGUUCCGUACCCUGUCUCUUGCUUCAAGAUAGAAGACCACUACCUUCACUCAAUACUUGCCUAGGGCGUGUCGCACACUUUGCAUAUAUCACUUUUAUUUAUUUAUUUAUUUAUUUAUUUAUUUAUUUAUUUAUUUAUUUAUUUUGAAACAGAAUCUUGCUCUGUCACCCAGGCUGGAGUGCAGUGGCAUGAUCUCAGCUCACUGGCACCCUGCGACCUCCACCUCCCGGGUUCAAGCGAUUCUUGCACCUCAGCCUCCUGAGUAGCUGGGAUUACAGGCGUCUGCCACUACACCUGGCUAAUUUUUGUGUUUUUAGUAGAGACAGGGUUUCACCAUGUUGGCCGGGCUGGUCUCAAAUUCCUGAUCUCAGGAGAUCUGCCUGCUUUGGCCUCCCAAAGUGCUGGGAUUACAGGUGUGAGCCACCACUCCCAACCAACCUCAUUUAAUCUUCAAAACAAUCCUGUGAGGUAGGUAUUUGGAAGAUUUGAAUCCAGGCAGUCAGACUCAAAGUCUGUAAGCUUGAAGCCAAGCUGAUCUAGGGUAACUUUCAGACAGCAAUCACCAUCUGUCACUUUACUGCCAUGAAGGAAAAAGUUUUUAAUAGAGGUUUUCCUUUCAGGAGGAUAUAAACUCAGCACUCAGCAAAAGCCACUAGUAAAUCCAGCGGGAGCCCUGGAUGCCUCAGGAAUGGUUCCAUUCUGCAGUCAUAGAAGGGUUCACAGGAAGCUGGUCGCUGGCCCUAGAAGGAACAUAGCCCCAAGCAGUGCCUUUCAGGGGCACUCGGAAGGUUUGAGGCCAGGAGGUCCUGGCCAGCAGUCCAAGGCAGCACCAGAGAGCUUGAAACCAGUAAAGCUUCCCCAGGCUGGACUCCACAGCCAGUUCAGAGCCUGACCCUGAACAUCUGCAGAUGGGCUUAUAUCUGAGCUGUGUUUUCUAGCCAGGCCAGAGGGAGGCUUGGAGAAGUCUAGAAGAGAACCAGAGGCCCCAAAGUAAAGAAAGCUGGACAGGAAGUUUCCUAGCCCAGCAGGGGCCAGCAGCAGUGAGCAGAGAGCACUACCCCCACCAGCACUUGAUGUUCUAUGAAGUGCAAAGAUUGUGUCAGCAUUUCCAUUUUAAACCCCUAAUUUCAUAGGUUUACAGUGCAAGUCGUAAAAAUUCACUCUGGGCUGAAGUUUGGCAUCCAGUCUCUUAGCUUUUUUAAAGCUGUGUGCUCAAAAAUGGAGACAUGUCUAGUUUCAGACAUUUUGGGGACCCCUAUAAACACCCCCAAAGCCUUGUUUGGUAAAAAUGGGCUCCUAAAUUGUGAUUCUAUGAUGCAGCAAAGCCCUGCCUCUGUGAAUGUGCAGAAAAUGUGUUAUGAAAAAGUAAUAUUGUUCCUCCAGAAAUACAGAUUCCCUACACACUGAACUAGAGCAGUGAAAAUAAGUAGAAUCUAAUGUUGUUGCAUCUUCAGAGCAACAUGUCACAUGACCUUUACCGUUACCACUGGGGCCUGAAGCUGUUCUUGCUUGAAAAGACAUUUCAAUUUCCAACUGGAGGCAGCUUCCUAGAGGAUUGGAGUCAGCAGCUGAUUCAGGUUUUUACAGGUUCUGUGACCUUGACCAAUAUGUAUUUAAACCUCCAUUUCUUUUGUUAUUAAAUUGGAGAUAAUUAUACUCUCCGUUCAGUUUUUCUGUAAACAGGAAAGAUCAUAUAUGUCAACACAUGUAAUAGACUGACUUUUAUUGGUAGCAACAUAUAGGUAACUCAGAGAAGUGAAGGUAUCUACAGUGAUGAUUAGUGGAAAGCUCUCUAACCUCUUCAUUUUCAGAUUUCCACUCAUUCCACAUCCUCUAAUACCUCUCACUGGUCACUGAGGCUGGUAAAGACAUUCAAAAUAUGAGCUACAUUAAAGAAUAAAUCCCCAGGAGAAAGCUCCCAAGAAUGACGUUAUAAAUCCCAAUGUUUGAGGAAUCUGACGUGGCAAGAAGCUAAUAUUUCAUAAUUUUGCAAGUAUCGCAGGGGACCCUGAGAGUUGUGAGAGCUUGAAUCACAUGACUUAGCUCGGGUAAUUAAUACUCAGGCAACUUGGCACUCGUACCAGUCUGCUUGAUCUGCAAGAAGUUCAAAGAGCCUCAUCUUCCCAAGUGUUGGGGCUUUGAUAAUUUCAGGAAGAGAAGCGAGAAUAGUAGCUCAGGCGUAUGUCCCCCUGAAGGAAAGGCAGAGCAGCAGCAGGGCAACCACCCUAUGGGACCUCCCUAUUCCUGAGCAAGAGGUUGUCCCUAGAUCCCAAAUAGGCCGAGAGACUGGGGGAGUCGAGACUUAUCUCAGGGGAGCAAGGGAAUGUCUGGCUACAGUGCCUGGUUUGGAAACAGGGAGAGGAAUCCAUGGCUCUGAGCCCAACCCCAGGCCACCAACAUGAUUUCUAUCUCUGGAAACAAGGAUUCUGUUAACAGAGGGACUUUCAGAAACAUCUUCAUUAAUACUGGUACCACCGAAAUGCCCAUGGAACACUUAGGGGUCAGUCAAACCUGAGGUUUAACUUUUCCUUUUUAAAUGUCAGCAGCAAACUGCUGAUCUACCAACAGUUAACAAUUUUACCUGCUGCUGUCUAAUCCUUUAUUCACCACAAAUCCAUUCCAAAGGGAGUCAAUAAGGCAACAUAAAAGUGUUCAAUGCAUAUUAACUGAUAAGGAGGAGAAGUUAGUGAAGUUCCUCUUAAAGCCAGUACAUUUCCAAGCUCUUAGUACUGUUUCAUUCUCCAUGUUUUAAAAUUAUACAAAGUGUAUAUUAGGCAAAAGAAUAGUAAGAUAAAAACUUAUGCACCCAAAACACAGGCUAGGAAAAAAGUCACUCACACCACCAAAUAAUCUUAUGCAUUCCUCCCCAACUUCAAAUUCUCCUCUUAUACCUUGCAGGCUGCACUAUCCUUACUGGCAUGUUCGUUACAUGUGGCUCACCUACGUAAGUCUAUGCUGAAGUGCAGUGCUAUGACAGGCACGAUCACAGCACACGGCAGCCUCAAGCUCCUGGGUUCAAAUGAGACUCCCACC